This 308-nucleotide ribosomal RNA is filed under the name uncultured Planctomycetales bacterium. RNAcentral describes it as "bacterial SSU rRNA". It matches the Rfam family "Bacterial small subunit ribosomal RNA", at positions 364 to 663 of the family's 1533-position model. The record is from RNAcentral. Lineage: Bacteria; Pseudomonadati; Planctomycetota; Planctomycetia; Planctomycetales.
UUUCGCAAUGCCCGAAAGGGUGACGAAGCGACGCCGCGUGCGGGAGGAAGGCCUUCGGGUUGUAAACCGCUGUCGGGAGUUAAGAAAUGCAAGGAUGUUAAUAGCGUUCUUGCUUGACUAAGGCUCCGGAGGAAGCCACGGCUAACUCUGUGCCAGCAGCCGCGGUAAUACAGAGGCGGCAAGCGUUGUUCGGAAUUAUUGGGCGUAAAGAGCACGUAGGCGGCUGUGUAAGUCGGUUGUGAAAGCCUUCCGCUCAACGGAAGAACGGCAUCCGAUACUGCAUGGCUUGAGUGUGGGAGGGGGGAGUG